ACUCGAGUGGCGAACGGGUGAGUAACACGUGGGUGAUCUGCCUUGUACUCUGGGAUAAGCUUGGGAAACUGGGUCUAAUACCGGAUAGUAGCCGCCUUUAGUGUGGUGGUUGGAAAGUUUUUCGGUGCAAGAUGAGCCCGCGGCCUAUCAGCUUGUUGGUGGGGUAAUGGCCUACCAAGGCGACGACGGGUAGCCGGCCUGAGAGGGUGUACGGCCACAUUGGGACUGAGACACGGCCCAG
This 241-nucleotide ribosomal RNA is filed under the name uncultured Actinomycetales bacterium. RNAcentral's name for it is "partial 16S ribosomal RNA". It matches the Rfam family "Bacterial small subunit ribosomal RNA", at positions 89 to 334 of the family's 1533-position model. Lineage: Bacteria; Bacillati; Actinomycetota; Actinomycetes; Actinomycetales. The record is from RNAcentral.